UACGUAGGGGGCAAGCGUUGUCCGGAAUCAUUGGGCGUAAAGAGCGUGUAGGCGGCUCGGUAAGUCCGCUGUGAAAGUCCAGGGCUCAACCCUGGAAUGCCGGUGGAUACUGUCGGGCUAGAGUCCGGAAGAGGCGAGUGGAACUCCUGGUGUAGCGGUGAAAUGCGCAGAUAUCAGGAAGAACACCAAUAGCGAAGGCAGCUCGCUGGGACGGUACUGACGCUGAGACGCGAAAGCGUGGGGAGCGAACAGG
RNAcentral lists this ribosomal RNA (253 nucleotides) under uncultured bacterium. RNAcentral describes it as "partial 16S ribosomal RNA". It matches the Rfam family "Bacterial small subunit ribosomal RNA", at positions 524 to 776 of the family's 1533-position model. The record is from RNAcentral.